ACACAUGCAAGUCGAGCGAGGUCCAUCCAGUGGUAACACUGGUGAAGACCUAGCGGCGAACGGGUGAGUAACACGUGAGAAACCUGCCCCGAAGACUGGGAUAACUCUCCGAAAGGAGAGCUAAUACCAGAUGCCCUCACCGGGCCGCAUGACUUGGUGAGGAAAUGGAUUCCGCUUCGGGAGGGUCUCGCGGCCUAUCAGCUUGUUGGUGAGGUAACGGCUCACCAAGGCUUCGACGGGUAGCUGGUCUGAGAGGAUGAUCAGCCACACUGGGACUGAGACACGGCCCAGACUCCUACGGGAGGCAGCAGUGGGGAAUCUUGCGCAAUGGGCGAAAGCCUGACGCAGCAACGCCGCGUGGGGGAUGAAGGCUCUCGGGUUGUAAACCCCUUUCAGCAGGGAAGAUUAUGACGGUACCUGCAGAAGAAGCCCCGGCCAACUACGUGCCAGCAGCCGCGGUAAUACGUAGGGGGCAAGCGUUGUCCGGAUUUAUUGGGCGUAAAGAGCUUGUAGGCGGCUUGGUAAGUCGAGUGUGAAAACUCCAGGCUCAACCUGGAGACGCCAUUCGAUACUGCCAUGGCUAGAGUCCGGUAGAGGAGCACGGAAUUCCUGGUGUAGCGGUGAAAUGCGCAGAUAUCAGGAGGAACACCAGCAGCGAAGGCGGUGCUCUGGGCCGGUACUGACGCUGAGAAGCGAAAGCGUGGGGAGCGAACAGGAUUAGAUACCCUGGUAGUCCACGCCGUAAACGUUGGGCACUAGGUGUGGGUCCCUAUCGACGGGAUCUGUGCCGUAGCUAACGCAUUAAGUGCCCCGCCUGG
This 818-nucleotide ribosomal RNA is filed under the name uncultured bacterium. Its description in RNAcentral is "bacterial SSU rRNA". It matches the Rfam family "Bacterial small subunit ribosomal RNA", at positions 51 to 876 of the family's 1533-position model. The record is from RNAcentral.